GACGAACGCUGGCGGCGUGCUUAACACAUGCAAGUCGAACGGAAAGGCUCUGCUUUUGUGGGGUGCUCGAGUGGCGAACGGGUGAGUAACACGAGAGUAACCUGCCCUUGACUUUGGGAUAAUUUCAGGAAACUGGGGCUAAUACCGGAUAGGAGCUCCAGCUGAAUGGUUGGUGUUGGAACGUGUCGUCGGUUGGGGAUGUACGCGCGGCUUAUCAGAUUGUUGGUGGGGUAGUGUCAUACCAAGGCUUUGACGAGAUGCCGGCCUGAGAGGGUGACCGGACCAACUGGAACUGAGUUCAGACCCAGUCUACUCUAGUAGGCAACACAGCAGUAUAUUGAAUAAUGGGCAGGAGCCAGAUACAAUGCAGCCACGGCGGGGAUAAGAGCAAUCGGGUUGUAACCCGAUUUCCUAUGAGAAGAAGAGAGAAUGACGGUACUAGGUUAAGAAGCACCGGCUAACUACGUG
This 468-nucleotide ribosomal RNA is filed under the name uncultured bacterium. RNAcentral's name for it is "partial 16S ribosomal RNA". It matches the Rfam family "Bacterial small subunit ribosomal RNA", at positions 28 to 507 of the family's 1533-position model. The record is from RNAcentral.